UUUUAUGAGAGUUUGAUCCUGGCUCAGGACGAACGCUGGCGGCGUGCCUAAUACAUGCAAGUCGAACGCUUCUUUUUCCACCGGAGCUUGCUCCACCGGAAAAAGAAGAGUGGCGAACGGGUGAGUAACACGUGGGUAACCUGCCCAUCAGAAGGGGAUAACACUUGGAAACAGGUGCUAAUACCGUAUAACAAUCAAAACCGCAUGGUUUUGAUUUGAAAGGCGCUUUCGGGUGUCGCUGAUGGAUGGACCCGCGGUGCAUUAGCUAGUUGGUGAGGUAACGGCUCACCAAGGCCACGAUGCAUAGC
This 308-nucleotide ribosomal RNA is filed under the name Enterococcus faecium. RNAcentral describes it as "bacterial SSU rRNA". It matches the Rfam family "Bacterial small subunit ribosomal RNA", at positions 1 to 287 of the family's 1533-position model. The record is from RNAcentral. Lineage: Bacteria; Bacillati; Bacillota; Bacilli; Lactobacillales; Enterococcaceae.